GGGGUUGACUGGUUUCGACAGCAAGACCAAUGGGUAAGUAAGCAUGCAGAGAACCGUAGUGCGAUCUCUUAAAUCCCUUGCUACAACAAUUUAACUGGCGACCAAGAGUUUGCUCUUGCAGCUUAAUCUGAAUGAUAGUAGGAUUCUAAGCGUUUUCCCGAAGAUAGUAAGGAAGCAAGAUGUCCCACAAAAGCCUCGUUCUGCGGCGUUUGGUUUCGGGGCAUAGCAAUGCAGAAAUAAGUCUCGAAGAACUUCGAUUCGGGAACGAAAACCACAGAAGAUAAGCCAAAAAUUGGGUGUUUGCUCUCUGUUUUUGGUCGAAAACUAAAAGCAAAAUAAGCAUGUAGAAAUCUUAUGUAUUGCUUGUUUGGACGAGGGUUCGAAUCCCUCCAACUCCACAG
RNAcentral lists this transfer-messenger RNA (401 nucleotides) under Cloacibacterium sp. It matches the Rfam family "transfer-messenger RNA". Rfam says of the family: Bacterial tmRNA, also known as 10Sa RNA or SsrA, is named for its dual tRNA and mRNA-like properties. Its role is to liberate the mRNA from a stalled ribosome. Lineage: Bacteria; Pseudomonadati; Bacteroidota; Flavobacteriia; Flavobacteriales; Weeksellaceae. The record is from RNAcentral. RNAcentral also lists the same sequence under 1 other name.